UUGUAUAAAGUCAUAUAC
Molecule: small nuclear RNA, 18 nt
Filed under: Arabidopsis thaliana (thale cress)
Lineage: Eukaryota; Viridiplantae; Streptophyta; Magnoliopsida; Brassicales; Brassicaceae
Description: snRNA_18841
Source: RNAcentral